UCCUCGGGCAAAGCGCUUGACA
RNAcentral lists this microRNA (22 nucleotides) under Mus musculus (house mouse). RNAcentral describes it as "mmu-miR-3080-3p". Lineage: Eukaryota; Metazoa; Chordata; Mammalia; Rodentia; Muridae. The record is from miRBase by way of RNAcentral.